AAUUAUAAAAAAUAAGGCUGUUAGCUGGAGAUCCAAGAGGCCGUUCCAGUGAAGGCGCCAUCCACAGGACACAUGGCAUCCGUGGAGCUCUCGUCAAUGGCGCUUCGCCGCCUUCUUCCAAUCGCCGCCGUCACCGUUCCCGUUGCGACGCUUUUAUUUCUUUUUUAUUUUUAUUUUGGCAGUGUACUAGUUUUUCUGGAUUCGUCGAUCUGAAGGCUCUUCCUCAAGACUGCUACGGCGGAGCAGACGAUCGAACCUGUUGAAACGAGGAUCAGAAUUGCUGCGGCGAUGUAUACGCCGCUCUUCACCAAAUAGCACUCGCCGCUCAACCAGCCCGCACCGUAUUGUUGCUGUCUGCUCAUACUCGUCGCCGCGCUCAGUAGCAAUAUCACCACGCUAUACAAGACACAAUGGCAACGAGUGCGAACGAGACGACGAUCGAGAGGCUUAAGGCGUAGACGAAACGGCGUUUUUCCAUGGCGGGGUGUGGUGUUAUGAGGAGAAUGAAUAUAAAACACAGGGAAAGGCUAGCUUCAAUGUGACUAAAGAGGAAAUUGGGAGCUCUUAGGGGGCUUUUCUAUUUUGUGUGUGUGUGUGUGUGUAGGAUUGCUUGUUGCUUUUGUGUUAGUUGUUGAAAUUGUUCUUUCAGGAGGCUUUUUUUUUAGUUGCUUGGAAUGAGAGUUACCAGUUUAUUUGAGAACAACCUGUAUGGAAAAUUUGAAAGAACUGUAUUUAAUUUUCUUUAAUAA
Long non-coding RNA from Cucurbita maxima (winter squash), 749 nucleotides. RefSeq lists it as uncharacterized. The record is from RefSeq and is a predicted model, not a curated record. Lineage: Eukaryota; Viridiplantae; Streptophyta; Magnoliopsida; Cucurbitales; Cucurbitaceae. The transcript is spliced from 2 exons.